Molecule: ribosomal RNA, 478 nt
Filed under: uncultured bacterium
Lineage: Bacteria
Description: bacterial SSU rRNA
Rfam family: Bacterial small subunit ribosomal RNA
Source: RNAcentral
AGGACGAACGCUGGCGGCACGCCUAACACAUGCAAGUCGAACGGAGAUUUGAGAGCUUGCUCUUAAAUCUUAGUGGCGGACGGGUGAGUAACACGUGAGCAACCUGCCUCUGAGAGAGGGAUAGCUUCUGGAAACGGAUGGUAAUACCUCAUAACAUUACAUGACCGCAUGAUCGUGUAAUCAAGGAUUUAUCACUCAGAGAUGGGCUCGCGUCUGAUUAGCUAGUUGGUGAGGUAACGGCCCACCAAGGCGACGAUCAGUAGCCGGACUGAGAGGUUGAACGGCCACAUUGGGACUGAGACACGGCCCAGACUCCUACGGGAGGCAGCAGUGAGGGAUAUUGCACAAUGGAGGAAACUCUGAUUGCAGCGAUGCCGCGUGGAGGAAGAAGGUUUUCGGAUUGUAAACUCCUGUUUCGAGGGACAAUAAUGACGGUACCUUGGGAGGAAGCUCCGGCUAACUACGUGCCAGCAGCAGC